GGGAAAAGAGCCUUUUAUUCUGUGACUCCCUCAGCUUUUAGUGCGUUUUUAAACUUCUUCUUGGGGAAUACAGAUUUUCGGAGGGGCUGAGCAACACCCCUGGAUGCAAUUCUGAGGGGAAAGAAACCCUCUAGAAUCCUGCGACCCCACCACCAUGUCGGAGCUCCCACACCGGACGACUUUUAGCACAUUUCCCAACUCGUUUUUUGGGGUGGUAUUUUUAAGCGGGCCGAGAAAGACCCGUGGACGCAAUGCCGAGGGGAGGGGAGAGGAGCCUUCCCUCAGCAGGUUGGGGCACUCCGGGCUCCUUGCAGUGCUUUUUUUGAACGCUUUUUUCCCUCAGCAGGUUUAGGCAUUCCGGGCUCCUUGCAGUGCGUUUUUUGAACGGUUUUUCCCUCAGCAGGUUGGGGCACUCCGGGCUCUUUGCAGAGCGUUUUUUGAACGGUUUUUUGGGCACGUCUCGGCUUCCGAGGGGGCCGUGCCCGGCCCUGUCCCUCCCCACAGGCGGCGGCGGGCGGGAAGCCCCGGCGGGCUCGGCCUCGCACUCCCGGCGCCCCCUGCGGGCCGGGGCCGGCACCGCCUCAACCGCCGGGUUCCCCCCAUCACCGGGAAUGGCGGCCGCUCCCCUUCCCCGCCCCGCCGGGGCCAUCCCGGCCCGCAGCGCCGCCGACACCGUCACACGCCGGAGGGCGGGCGGGCACGGAUGAGGAAGGAGGGGGAAGGAGCCGUUGCCAUGGCGAGCGCGGCCCGCCCUUGCCUCCCCACGUCAGCGCCGUCUCCCGCCCGGCCGCGGGUGAUUGACAGUUGCUAUGGCAACAGGCUCGCCCCCGCCGCCAUUUUGUCAGUUGGGUUUUUUUUUAAAUUUAAAAAAAUAUUUAAAAAAUUAAAUUAAAAUAAAAUAAUAAUAAUAAAAAACAAGACCAAAUCGCUCAAUUUCGGCCAGAAUUUCUGGGGUUGUUUUUUUUUUAAGUUUUUUUUUUCUUCUCCUUCUUCCGACCUCCACGGCGAAAGGAAAAGGAAAAGAAGGGACGCAAAAAAAGUGCGCUCCGAGGGUCCCGCCGGGGAUGCGCGGCCGAGCUUGAGGCGGCGGCGGCGGCGGUGCGGGCAGCGAAGCCGGUUCGUGAGGAAGAAGGGAGGGAGGGAAGGAGGAGCGGGCGGGGAGGGAGGGAGGGGGAGGAGGUAGCGGCUGGCAGGCGGGGGAGGGAGGGAGGGAGCGAGGAGUUCCCGGGGGCUCGGUACGGCGCUGCGCUUCCCCCCAUCCCCUCCUCCUCCUCCUUCUCCUCCUCCUCCUCCCGCUCCUCCCGCUCCCCCCGCCGCUGUCCCCGCGCUCCCGGCCGGGGCUCAGGCCGCCGAUCGCAGCCGAGCCGAGGCGAGGCCGAGCCGCCGCCGGGCGCUGCGCAGGUUUGGACCGCGCGCCAUUUUGUGAGGGCAGCGAACAGCCAGAGCCCGGCCGGGGAGCCGCCGGGCCGCCCGGGCUCCCCUUCCCACCGCGGGCAGAGCCGCGGCCCGAGGGAGGAGGAGGCGCCGCCGCCGCCGAGGCCCCCGGGGAAGAGCGGGAGGACGCGCCCGGCGCUCGCCCCGCGGAGGGAGAGGCCUCGCCCCGGGAGAAGCCGCCGCACGGUGCUGUUUGCUGCUGGACUCCCCUGUCCCCACAACCCCGCAGGAUGAUAUGAGACUUGAAAGAAGACGAUGCAUACAGGUGAUUGAUAUUCAGGAUUUUUACAGUGACAAAUGUUGGAUGUUCUUGAUGUGCUUCUUGUUGCUCUUCCAUUCUCUGUCCCCCCAAAAUGAUGUUGUUCCAACUUAGCAGAAUAUUGAAGAAUUUUGGAAUCUUUCUUUGCCCUUUCAAAACUCUUCUGCAGCUUGGAAAACUCUUCUUCUUCCAGGAAGAAAAUGGUUUUCCUGAAUGGAAAUAUUGUUUUCAAAGUUUUUCUGGGAAUGCUUCUGAAGGUGCUGGUUGAUAUUUUUAGGAAAUUCUCCCUUUUUUUGGCUAAUCAGAAAUCCUGGAAGUGCCAAGUGUAUUUGCAGCUUCAGUGGCUGAUUUUUACUUGUGCUGGAAAUACACUCAGGGAAAAUCACAAGAAUAAAAUUAAAUUGUCCAAGAGGGUUGCUCUAAUU
Molecule: long non-coding RNA, 2118 nt
Filed under: Junco hyemalis (dark-eyed junco)
Lineage: Eukaryota; Metazoa; Chordata; Aves; Passeriformes; Passerellidae
Description: lncRNA (ENSJHYG00000001966.1)
Source: RNAcentral